RNAcentral lists this transfer RNA (77 nucleotides) under Pseudomonadales bacterium. RNAcentral describes it as "tRNA-Arg". It matches the Rfam family "tRNA". From Rfam's summary of the family: Transfer RNA (tRNA) molecules are approximately 80 nucleotides in length. The record is from RNAcentral. Lineage: Bacteria; Pseudomonadati; Pseudomonadota; Gammaproteobacteria; Pseudomonadales. RNAcentral also lists the same sequence under 1 other name.
GCGCUUGUAGCUCAACUGGAUAGAGUAUCGGGCUUCGAACUCGAGGGUUGCAGGUUCGAGUCCUGCCAGGCGCACCA